Molecule: ribosomal RNA, 253 nt
Filed under: uncultured bacterium
Lineage: Bacteria
Description: partial 16S ribosomal RNA
Rfam family: Bacterial small subunit ribosomal RNA
Source: RNAcentral
UACAGAGGGUGCGAGCGUUAAUCGGAAUUACUGGGCGUAAAGCGCGCGUAGGCGGCUUUGUAAGUCGGUUGUGAAAUCCCCGGGCUUAACCUGGGAAUGGCAUUUGGGACUGCAAGGCUGGAGUGUGGCAGAGGAGACUGGAAUUCCCGGUGUAGCAGUGAAAUGCGUAGAUAUCGGGAGGAAUACCGAUGGCGAAGGCAGGUCUCUGGGCUGACACUGACGCUCAUGCACGAAAGCGUGGGGAGCAAACAGG